CUUGCUUUCAUAGCUCAGUUGGUUAGAGCACCCGUUUAGUAAGCGGGAGGUCUUGAGUUCGACUCUCAAUGAAAGCACUGGUCACUUGC
RNAcentral lists this transfer RNA (89 nucleotides) under Helianthus annuus (common sunflower). RNAcentral's name for it is "tRNA-Thr". The stretch from base 4 to 77 matches the Rfam family "tRNA". From Rfam's summary of the family: Transfer RNA (tRNA) molecules are approximately 80 nucleotides in length. Their secondary structure includes four short double-helical elements and three loops (D, anti-codon, and T loops). The record is from RNAcentral. Lineage: Eukaryota; Viridiplantae; Streptophyta; Magnoliopsida; Asterales; Asteraceae.